UUAGAACGGGAGGUCAGAUACAUCAACAGGAUGCUAGGACGGGAGGUCAGAUACAUCAACAGGAUGAUAGGACGGGAGGACAGAUACAUCAACAGGAUGUUAGAGAUGAUGGUGAUGUAGUUGAAGAUGUGAGAAAGGGAUGAUGGUGAUGUAGUUGAGGAAGUGAGAUGGGGAUGAUGAUGGUGAUGUAGUUGAAGAAGUGAGACAGGGAUGAUGGUGAUGUAGUUGAAGAAGUGAGACAGGGAUGAUGGUGAUGUAGUUGAGGAAGUGAGAUGGGGAUGAUGGUGAUGUAGUUGAAGAAGUGAGACAGGGAUGAUGGUGAUGUAGUUGAAAAUGUGAGACGGGGAUGAUGGUGAUGUAGUUGAGGAAGUGAGACACGUAUGAUGGUGAUGUAGUUGAAGAAGUGAGACAGGGAUGAUGGUGAUGUAGUUGAGGAAGUGAGAUGGGGAUGAUGGUGAUGUAGUUGAGGAAGUGAGACAGGGAUGAUGGUGAUGUAGUUGAGGAAGUGAGACAGGGAUGAUGGUGAUGUAAUUGAAGAAGCUGGGAGACAGGGAUGAGGGUGAUGUAGUUGAGGAAGUGAGACGGGGAUGAUGGAGAUGUAGUUGAAGAAGCUGGGAGACAGGGAUGAGGGUGAUGCAGUUGAGGAAGUGAGACAGGGAGGAUGGUGAUGUAGAUAAAGAUGUGAGACAGGGAUGAUGGUGAUGUAGUUGAAUAUGUGAGACAGGGAUGAUGGUGAUGUAGUUGAGGAAGUGAAACAGGGACGAUGGUGAGGUAGUUGAAUAUGUGAGACAGGGAUGAUGGUGAUGUAGUUGAGGAAGUGAAACAGGGAUGAUGGUGAUGUAGUUGAAGAUGUGAGACAGGGAUGAUGGUGAUGUAGUUGAGGAAGUGAGACAGGGGUGAGGUAGUUGAAUAUGUGAGACAGGGAUGAUGGUGAUGUAGUUGAGGAAGUGAAACAGGGACGAUGGUGAUGUAGUUGAAGAUGUGAGACAGGGAUGAUGGUGGUGUAGUUGGGGAAGUGAGACAGGGAUGAUGGUGAUGUAGUUGAAGAAGUGAGAUGGGGAUGAUGGUGAUAUAGUUGAAGAAGUGAGACAGGGAUGAUGGGGAUGUAGUUGAAGAAGUGAGAUGGGGAUGAUGGUGAUGUAGUUGAGGAAGUGAGACAGGGAUGAUGGUGAUGUAGUUUAGGAAGUGAGACAGAGAUGAUGGUGAUGUAGUUGAGGAAGUGAGACAGGGAUGAUGGUGAUGUAGUUGAGGAAGUGAGACAGGGAUGAUGGAGAUGUAGUUGAGGAAGUGUGACAGGGAUGAUGGAGAUGUAGUUCAAGAUGUGAGACAGGGAUGAUGGUGAUGUAGUUGAGGAAGUGAGACAGGGAUGAUGGUGAUGUAGUUGAAGAUGUGAGACAGGGAUGAUGGUGAUGUAGUUCAUAUUAUCGUUGUUUAUGAGGACACAUUCUUCAACUAUAGUUUAUGGGGACACUGACUAUGGGAUGCAGGGUUUAUGAAGUAGAAUAGUUUCAGGUCUUCAGUGAUGAUGGAUAUUGGUUGUGUUGACUUAUUUAACGUACCGGGUCAAAUGAUUGGACACAUGACACAUGAAUGAAAGUACAGGAUGACACAAAUGAAUGGGACAAUUUUAUUGACGCAUCAAAUAACAUAAAACAAUUAAAUUAUUAAAAUGUCGCUUUACUUUCAUCACAAAUUAUAAUCUUUAAUGUUUGAAUAUAUUUUGAAUACAUUAGGUUUGACUUAUGCGGUAAAGUGUUUCUAAAAUGUACGUAAAGGCUUAGAAAAAUACAUUUUAACUAACAAAUUGUCUAGAUACUAAAACCGUCACUUAUGACGCAUGCAAUGCAUUGGACAGGAAUUCUAAGUGUUAUGCUAAUGUCAUUUAUGGGAACAUAGCCUGUAUAAUUAUGUCUUCCCUACUCACCAGAGAUCGCUUCUUCAUGCAUUCCAUCACCAUGAGGAAGAUCUGCUGGGCCUGACCGCGGUUGUAGUUGAACGUCUUCUGUAUGGUGACCAGGAGCUGGUCCUUCACGCUAUCACUUACCAAGCUGAGGGGAGACGGAGAGACUGGUCAAACCAACUCCACAGUCUACACUUUAGGCUUGGAAAAUGAGAGGAGACAGAGAGACUGGUCAAACCAACUCCACAGUCUACUCUUUAGGCUUGGAAAAUGAGAGGAGACAGAGAGACUGGUCAAACCAACUCUACAGUCUACACUU
RNAcentral lists this long non-coding RNA (2219 nucleotides) under Salmo salar (Atlantic salmon). RNAcentral's name for it is "lncRNA (ENSSSAG00000116782.1)". Lineage: Eukaryota; Metazoa; Chordata; Actinopteri; Salmoniformes; Salmonidae. The record is from RNAcentral.